GGGCAAUGGCGGCGUGCUAAUACAUGCAAGUCGAGCGAAUGGAUUAAGAGCUUGCUCUUAUGAAGUUAGCGGCGGACGGGAGAGUAACACGUGGGUAACCUGCCCAUAAGACUGGGAUAACUCCGGGAAACCGGGGCUAAUACCGGAUAACAUUUUGAACCGCAUGGUUCGAAAUUGAAAGGCGGCUUCGGCUGUCACUUAUGGAUGGACCCGCGUCGCAUUAGCUAGUUGGUGAGGUAACGGCUCACCAAGGCAACGAUGCGUAGCCGACCUGAGAGGGUGAUCGGCCACACUGGGACUGAGACACGGCCCAGACUCCUACGGGAGGCAGCAGUAGGGAAUCUUCCGCAAUGGACGAAAGUCUGACGGAGCAACGCCGCGUGAGUGAUGAAGGCUUUCGGGUCGUAAAACUCUGUUGUUAGGGAAGAACAAGUGCUAGUUGAAUAAGCUGGCACCUUGACGGUACCUAACCAGAAAGCCACGGCUAACUACGUGCCAGCAGCCGCGGUAAUACGUAGGUGGCAAGCGUUAUCCGGAAUUAUUGGGCGUAAAGCGCGCGCAGGUGGUUUCUUAAGUCUGAUGUGAAAGCCCACGGCUCAACCGUGGAGGGUCAUUGGAAACUGGGAGACUUGAGUGCAGAAGAGGAAAGUGGAAUUCCAUGUGUAGCGGUGAAAUGCGUAGAGAUAUGGAGGAACACCAGUGGCGAAGGCGACUUUCUGGUCUGUAACUGACACUGAGGCGCGAAAGCGUGGGGAGCAACAGGAUUAGAUACCCUGGUAGUCCACGCCGUAAACGAUGAGUGCUAAGUGUUAGAGGGUUUCCGCCCUUUAGUGCUGAAGUUAACGCAUUAAGCACUCCGCCUGGGGGAGUACGGCCGCAAGGCUGAACUCAAAGGAAUUGACGGGGGCCCGCACAAGCGGUGGAGCAUGUGGUUUAAUUCGAAGCAACGCGAAGAACCUUACCAGGUCUUGGCAUCCUCUGACAACCCUAGAGAUAGGGCUUCUCCUUCGCGAGCAGAGUGACAGGUGAUGCAUGGAUGUCGUCAGCUUCGUGUCGUGAGAUGUUGGAUUAGUCCCGCAGCUAGCGCAACCCGUUGAUCUUAGUUGCUCAUUCAUUUAACUUCGGUCACUUCUGAGGAUUACUGCCAGGUUGACUACCGGAGGAAGUUGGGAUGACGGUCGAUCAUCUAUGCCACCUUUAUCUGACCUGCCUUUACCACCGUUCUUACAUGGGCGGUGUUCCAUAGGAGGGUUUGCCAGAAUCCUACGCUAGGAGGCUAGAAC
Molecule: ribosomal RNA, 1283 nt
Filed under: Bacillus cereus
Lineage: Bacteria; Bacillati; Bacillota; Bacilli; Caryophanales; Bacillaceae
Description: bacterial SSU rRNA
Rfam family: Bacterial small subunit ribosomal RNA
Source: RNAcentral